UACGUAUGGAGCAAGCGUUAUCCGGAUUUACUGGGCGUAAAGGGAGCGUAGGCGGCCUGCCAAGUCUGAUGUGAAAUCCUAUGGCUUAACCAUAGAACUGCAUUUGAAACUGUUAUUCUAGAGUAUGGGAGAGGUAGGUGGAAUUCUUGGUGUAGGGGUAAAAUCCGUAGAGAUCAAGAGGAAUACUCAUUGCGAAGGCGACCUGCUAGAACAUAACUGACGCUGAUGCGCGAAAGCGUGGGGAGCAAAAAGG
RNAcentral lists this ribosomal RNA (253 nucleotides) under uncultured Helicobacteraceae bacterium. RNAcentral describes it as "partial 16S ribosomal RNA". It matches the Rfam family "Bacterial small subunit ribosomal RNA", at positions 524 to 776 of the family's 1533-position model. Lineage: Bacteria; Pseudomonadati; Campylobacterota; Epsilonproteobacteria; Campylobacterales; Helicobacteraceae. The record is from RNAcentral.